UCCCGUGUGGCUCAGUUGGUAGAGCAUGGUGUUUGCAACGCCAGGGUUGUGGAUUCGAUUCCCACGGGGA
RNAcentral lists this transfer RNA (70 nucleotides) under Salmo salar (Atlantic salmon). It matches the Rfam family "tRNA". From Rfam's summary of the family: Transfer RNA (tRNA) molecules are approximately 80 nucleotides in length. Their secondary structure includes four short double-helical elements and three loops (D, anti-codon, and T loops). Further hydrogen bonds mediate the characteristic L-shaped molecular structure. tRNAs have two regions of fundamental functional importance: the anti-codon, which is responsible for specific mRNA codon recognition, and the 3' end, to which the tRNAs corresponding amino acid is attached (by aminoacyl-tRNA synthetases). tRNAs cope with the degeneracy of the genetic code in two manners: having more than one tRNA (with a specific anti-codon) for a particular amino acid; and 'wobble' base-pairing, i.e. permitting non-standard base-pairing at the 3rd anti-codon position. Lineage: Eukaryota; Metazoa; Chordata; Actinopteri; Salmoniformes; Salmonidae. The record is from Rfam by way of RNAcentral.